Molecule: ribosomal RNA, 1362 nt
Filed under: synthetic construct
Also listed under: 1 other name
Description: bacterial SSU rRNA
Rfam family: Bacterial small subunit ribosomal RNA
Source: RNAcentral
AGAGUUUGAUCCUGGCUCAGGAUGAACUCUGGCGGCGUGCCUAACACAUGUAAGUCGAGCGAUUUACUUCGGUAAAGAGCGGCGGACGGGUGAGUAACGCGUGGGUAACCUGCCCUGUACACACGGAUAACAUACCGAAAGGUAUGCUAAUACGAGAUAAAAUACUUUUAUCGCAUGGUAGAAGUAUCAAAGCUUUUGCGGUACAGGAUGGACCCGCGUCUGAUUAGCUAGUUGGUAAGGUAACGGCUUACCAAGGCGACGAUCAGUAGCCGACCUGAGAGGGUGAUCGGCCACAUUGGAACUGAGACACGGUCCAAACUCCUACGGGAGGCAGCAGUGGGGAAUAUUGCACAAUGGGCGAAAGCCUGAUGCAGCAACGCCGCGUGAGCGAUGAAGGCCUUCGGGUCGUAAAGCUCUGUCCUCAAGGAAGAUAAUGACGGUACUUGAGGAGGAAGCCCCGGCUAACUACGUGCCAGCAGCCGCGGUAAUACGUAGGGGGCUAGCGUUAUCCGGAAUUACUGGGCGUAAAGGGUGCGUAGGUGGUUUCUUAAGUCAGAGGUGAAAGGCUACGGCUCAACCGUAGUAAGCCUUUGAAACUGGGGAACUUGAGUGCAGGAGAGGAGAGUGGAAUUCCUAGUGUAGCGGUGAAAUGCGUAGAUAUUAGGAGGAACACCAGUUGCGAAGGCGGCUCUCUGGACUGUAACUGACACUGAGGCACGAAAGCGUGGGGAGCAAACAGGAUUAGGUACCCUGGUAGUCCACGCGGUAAACGAUGAUUACUAGGUGUCGGGGGGCUAGAGCCCUUCGGUGCCGUCGCAAACGCAAUAAGUAAUCCACCUGGGGAGUACGUUCGCAAGAAUGAAACUCAAAGGAAUUGACGGGGACCCGCACAAGCGGUGGAGCAUGUGGUUUAAUUCGAAGCAACGCGAAGAACCUUACCUGACCUUGACAUCCCAAUGACCGGACAGUAAUGUGUCCUUCCCUUCGGGGCAUUGGAGACAGGUGGUGUAUGGUUGUCGUCAGCUCGUGUCGUGAGAUGUUGGGUUAAGUCCCGCAACGAGCGCAACCCCUAUCCUUAGUAGCCAGCAUAAAGAUGGGAACUCUAGGGAGACUGCCGGGGAUAACCCGGAGGAAGGCGGGGACGACGUCAAAUCAUCAUGCCCCUUAUGGCCAGGGCUACACACGUGCUACAAUGGCGUAAACAAAGGGAAGCGAAGCCGUGAGGUGGAGCAAAUCCCAAAAAUAACGUCCCAGUUCGGAUUGUAGUCUGCAACUCGACUACAUGAAGCUGGAAUCGCUAGUAAUCGCAGAUCAGAACGCUGCGGUGAAUACGUUCCCGGGUCUUGUACACACCGCCCGUCA